Molecule: RNA transcript, 1118 nt
Organism: Cryptomeria japonica (Japanese cedar)
Lineage: Eukaryota; Viridiplantae; Streptophyta; Pinopsida; Cupressales; Cupressaceae
Exons: 5
Source: RefSeq, a predicted model, not a curated record
GAGAGUUAAUUUUUGGAUUUGUUUAUAUGUUGUUCAAUUUUCUGGUAUACAAAGAAGGACGUGUUUGUUUUUUGCUUGGGUAGGGUUUGAUUAACACACAUUCGUCUUCCUUUGCAUCUACUCCAUCAGUAGAUGACCCAUCAACGCCCGAUUCUUCCUGAACAUUCUCAACAAGAGGAGAAAUCAUCAGUUGUCCUGCCACAACAACCUUUGCUCUUCUAUGGUAAGUGCUUCAAAGUGGAGAAUAGUUUUUAAAAGUGGUCAAGACAAAAAGGAUAGUUCCAGAAAUAAAAAGAAACUCACAGGUGGCUACAUGGAGUGGACAUAAGACAAAAGUUGCAUUCUUACUUCUAUUUGGAAAACAUGUUUUAAGUCUUGAUUUACAAGGUCAUUAUUGGGAGUGAAGAAAGGACUUUACUGUUAUGGAAUAUUAAUACUUAGAAAAAACUUUAUGAUUUUAAGGGACGAGGAUCCUCCAUUCAAUGUUGUGUCUCAUCUCUAGCUUUAGAUGUGGUUCAAAUUGGUUGUGUCGAUGGAAAAAUUCAUGUCCAUAAUUUACGAUUUGAUGAAGAGGUUGUAACAAUUACACAUACAAUUAGAGCAAUUACUGCAUUGGCCUUUAUGACAGAAAUGUAUUGAUAAACUCAAAGAAGAGGAUAAAGUUAGGGUGUUGGAUACGUUUGAUGGUGUUGUUGUGGGCAUUGGGAAGAUUCACUCCCUAUCUAUUAUACAUGGAGUCAACUUGAAAGGAACGGGAGAUGCAAAUGUAAACAUUUUAAAGGUCACAAGUAACAUACCCCUUUCUUAUGAAGACAAAAUAGAUGGAGUUGUCUAUUUGAAAGAGAAAGAGGGAACCUUCACAUAGUGGCCACUAAAAUAUUUGCAAAAAAUGACAUAGUUGAUCAUGUUUAAUAUCAUGUACUAGUUGUUAGACAUCUUGGCUCACUCCUUUAUGUAGUAUUUUGAAUGUGUUGUUCAGGGGUCCUAACUAUCAUGGUGUAUUUGAAAGAGUUGGAAACUCUUAGAUAGCUUUGAUAUUUUUUAUUAUAUUUACAUAUAUAGUCUUAGAUAACUUUGACAUCUUAUAUAUAGAUAGAUAGAUAGAUAUAUUUGCAUUA